GGAUGCUCUGCAAUACUAUCUCCGUACCAUCACCAGGGUUGAUUUGGUUGACCUGGCUGGUUAGGUGGGUACUCCUUCACUCAAAGUUCCAUAUGCAUCCCUCCCAAAGCUACAUAUGUGGUAGAAGAUCAUUUUCUCUGGUAGAAUCUAUUCUUUGGUCAAGAGUUUAUUAGUAACCAUGUUCCCCUGCUAGAACCUCCAAAGAGCUCUCCAGGCAAAUGGAGAUGUUCCAUCACUAUUGGAUUCUAAUGUUCCAGGAACCCCUCA
This is an unclassified non-coding RNA of Dipodomys ordii (Ord's kangaroo rat), 267 nucleotides long. Its record names the gene 7SK. It matches the Rfam family "7SK RNA". From Rfam's summary of the family: 7SK was discovered as an abundant small nuclear RNA in the mid-70s but a possible function has only recently been suggested. The record is from Ensembl. Lineage: Eukaryota; Metazoa; Chordata; Mammalia; Rodentia; Heteromyidae.